UAGUCCACGCCGUAAACGAUGUUCACUCGCUGUUUGUGAUAUACUACAAGUGGCCAAGCGAAAGCAUUAAGUGAACCACCUGGGGAGUACGUUGGCAACAAUGAAACUCAAAGGAAUUGACGGGGACCCGCACAAGCGGUGGAACAUGUGGUUUAAUUCGAUGAUACGCGAGGAACCUUACCUGGACUUAAAUGUAGGUUGCAUGGAGUGGAGACAUUCCUUUCUUCGGACUACCUACAAGGUGCUGCAUGGUUGUCGUCAGCUCGUGCCGUGAGGUGUCGGGUUAAGUCCCAUAACGAGCGCAACCCCUAUCGUUAGUUGCCAUCAGGUUAAGCUGGGGACUCUAACGAAACUGCCCGUGCAAACGGAGAGGAAGGUGGGGAUGACGUCAAAUCAGCACGGCCCUUACGUCCAGGGCUACACACGUGUUACAAUGGCAUAGACAGAGGGCAGCUACCAGGCAACUGGAUGCGAAUCUCGAAACUGUAGUCUCAGUUCGGA
This 501-nucleotide ribosomal RNA is filed under the name uncultured bacterium. Its description in RNAcentral is "bacterial SSU rRNA". It matches the Rfam family "Bacterial small subunit ribosomal RNA", at positions 791 to 1297 of the family's 1533-position model. The record is from RNAcentral.